GAAAAUUGUCUCUUUUAGUAUUUCUCCAGUAGGUUUCUCAAGGUGGAGGCCCUC
The sequence is a small nuclear RNA, 54 nucleotides long. Its record names the gene U7. It matches the Rfam family "U7 small nuclear RNA". Rfam says of the family: Animal histone pre-mRNAs are spliced by a different mechanism than nuclear pre-mRNAs and self-splicing introns. The record is from Ensembl.